Long non-coding RNA from Pan troglodytes (chimpanzee), 1398 nucleotides. RefSeq lists it as uncharacterized. The record is from RefSeq and is a predicted model, not a curated record. The transcript has 3 exons. NCBI's taxonomy places the organism in Eukaryota, Metazoa, Chordata, Mammalia, Primates, Hominidae.
GGGGCAAACUUUUAGUGGGAAAGGCUUUAAAAUGCUGCUUUGUUCCAAAGGCCAUUCUGCAAUGAUGAAGGGGGAUGAUUGAAAAGAGCUGGACUAAAUUGGUCUAACUAGGACACUUGAAGGCUUGUGAAUCAGUUCACACGAUCAGUGUGAAAAGCGGGUAUGAAGACCCAGAUGCUGGUGUGUACGUGUGCAUAUAAGCCCCAACAGAUUCUGCCAGAAACGGAGUAGAAAAACUGUGGCUCACCCGGGACCCAGUCUUUCCCCAGGUUCCCCACAGAUGCGCUCUGAAUCUGUUAUAAUUGACUCACCACGACCUGCAUGCACACAUGGAAUUCCUCAUGGCAUCCUUAGAUCUUUUUUGCCACAUCCUUUUGCUCUGACUCGAAGAGGAAGCCAACCAUCUCUUCACUGGCCUGUGCCACAGAUGCCUUCCAUGUCAAUACCAUCUGUGAUCCCGACGGAAAUGAUAGUUAAAAUUUGUUGCAUCUGUUAUUGAGCCUAUCUUUGUAGUAGGAGUAAUGAAAUUUGGCUUCCAAACUAAUUCAUCUUUAUGCAGAUAGCCCAAACUAACCUGCAAUUAAAACACUGAAAGUAGUCACAACUGGGAGAUACAAAAUAAAUGUGGGAAAAAGUUCUUUUUCAAUAAAGAAGCAUGAUUAGUUUGAGAAACAUCAACUCCGAGGACUAUAAUCUAAGCUGGUAGAAAUUAAAAUUAUGGGAAAAUAGAAUUUUGCCGAUAGACUUGAAACUGUGAAAAUAAGUAGAGUGUUUGAUAACCUGAAAUAAACUCUUUCUAAAGCACUAUUUUUAUAGUGGAACCAGGGGUAGCUACUAUUUUGUUAUUAUUUUAAUUGUUUGUGAACAUAUGGGAUAAAGAAAAGGAACAUGAAUGUGAUUGCAGCUACAGUAUAUCUAGAAGAGUCAAUUAAAUUUAUGUUCUAAAGGAGCAUAAGAAUGAUGAUUCUGUCACUCAGAAUUGAAGAUGUUUAAUGUAUAUUGUAAACUGGUAAUGUUUAAGAUUUUCAGAUAGUGUGUAUAUUGAUUAAACAAGAUAUUGAGAGAUUUCAAAUGGCCAAAAAGUAGAAUUGUCUUUAUGUAUAUCAAAAAAUAUUUUUGAAACUUCUGAAUUUCUCAGUCAUAUAAACAAUAAACAUCUACCCCUAGAAGAAAAUUUAAUCCUAUUUUACUUAGUUGGACAUACUCUUUCAUACACAAGAACACUUUGCUGGUUUUCCAGUGAUCACACAAGUGACUGGUGAUAGUUGGACCACAGCCCCAUUGCUCCACACUUCCUCCAGGCCCCUGUGAGUCCACCCUGUACUCAACAGAGUACAGACAGUUUAACUAGUUAGCCAGAAAAUCCUGGGAAAUCUGUCUCAGUGUAGACUCUUCAAA